AACGAACGCUGGCGGCAUGCCUAACACAUGCAAGUCGAACGAGACCUUCGGGUCUAGUGGCGCACGGGUGCGUAACGCGUGGGAACCUGCCCUUAGGUUCGGAAUAACUCAGAGAAAUUUGAGCUAAUACCGGAUAAUGUCUUCGGACCAAAGAUUUAUCGCCUUUGGAUGGGCCCGCGUAGGAUUAGCUUGUUGGUGGGGUAAUGGCCUACCAAGGCGACGAUCCUUAGCUGGUCUGAGAGGAUGAUCAGCCACACUGGGACUGAGACACGGCCCAGACUCCUACGGGAGGCAGCAGUGGGGAAUAUUGGACAAUGGGCGAAAGCCUGAUCCAGCAAGGCCGCGUGAGUGAUGAAGGCCUUAGGGUUGUAAAGCUCUUUUACCAGGGAUGAUAAUGACAGUACCUGGAGAAUAAGCUCCGGCUAACUCCGUG
RNAcentral lists this ribosomal RNA (433 nucleotides) under uncultured bacterium. RNAcentral's name for it is "partial 16S ribosomal RNA". It matches the Rfam family "Bacterial small subunit ribosomal RNA", at positions 29 to 507 of the family's 1533-position model. The record is from RNAcentral.